RNAcentral lists this ribosomal RNA (372 nucleotides) under uncultured bacterium. Its description in RNAcentral is "bacterial SSU rRNA". It matches the Rfam family "Bacterial small subunit ribosomal RNA", at positions 524 to 898 of the family's 1533-position model. The record is from RNAcentral.
UACGGAGGAUCCAAGCGUUAUCCGGAUUUAUUGGGUUUAAAGGGUGCGUAGGCGGAUUAUUAAGUCAGUGGUGAAAUCCUACAGCUUAACUGUAGAACUGCCAUUGAUACUGAUAGUCUUGAGUACAUGCGGAGUGGGCGGAAUAUGUCAUGUAGCGGUGAAAUGCAUAGAUAUGACAUAGAACACCGAUAGCGAAGGCAGCUCACUAGAAUGUAACUGACGCUGAUGCACGAAAGCGUGGGUAGCAAACAGGAUUAGAUACCCUGGUAGUCCACGCCGUAAACGAUGAUUACUCGAUGUCUGCGAUAUACAGUAGGCGUCUAAGCGAAAGUGAUAAGUAAUCCACCUGGGGAGUACGAUCGCAAGGUUGAA